AGGGAAUAUUGGUCAAUGGACGCAAGUCUGAACCAGCCAUGCCGCGUGAGGGAAGACGGCCUUCUGGGUUGUAAACCUCUUUUAUCAGAGAACAAAAAGUCCCUGCGGGGAAAAUUGAGUGUAUCUGAAGAAU
RNAcentral lists this ribosomal RNA (133 nucleotides) under uncultured bacterium. RNAcentral describes it as "partial 16S ribosomal RNA". It matches the Rfam family "Bacterial small subunit ribosomal RNA", at positions 356 to 487 of the family's 1533-position model. The record is from RNAcentral.